UUUGUUUUGGUUUGGUUUUUGGUUUUUUGACAGAGAUGCAGCAAGAGAGAGAACACAAGCAGGGGGAGUAGAAGAGGAAGAAUUCUCACAGGCUUCUUGGUGAGCAGGGAGCAGGACUCCGGGAUCAUGACCUGAGCCAAAGAUGCUUACUGACUGAGCCACCCAAAGCCCCAGUGAACAAAGACCAUUCUGUCUGUGGAGUUGCUGCUUUCAUAGAACCACAGGAUAUUAAUGCCAUGAGGGAACCGGGAGAUGAUGUGGACCCCAUUCCAUCAUUUAUAUCAAGGAAAACAAAGGCUCACAAAGAUCUCAGCAAGCACGGAAUAUGGAACUGUUCAA
This is a long non-coding RNA of Mustela erminea (ermine), 339 nucleotides long. RefSeq lists it as uncharacterized. Lineage: Eukaryota; Metazoa; Chordata; Mammalia; Carnivora; Mustelidae. The transcript is spliced from 3 exons. The record is from RefSeq and is a predicted model, not a curated record.